GUGGGGAAUCUUGCGCAAUGGGCGAAAGCCUGACGCAGCCAUGCCGCGUGAAUGAUGAAGGUCUUAGGAUUGUAAAAUUCUUUCACCGGGGACGAUAAUGACGGUACCCGGAGAAGAAGCUCCGGCUAACUUCGUGCCAGCAGCCGCGGUAAUACGAAGGGGGCUAGCGUUGCUCGGGAUUACUGGGCGUAAAGGGCGCGUAGGCGGACAGCUUAGUCAGAGGUGAAAGCCCAGGGCUCAACCUUGGAAUUGCCUUUGAUACUGGCUGUCUUGAGUUUGGGAGAGGUGAGUGGAACUCCGAGUGUAGAGGUGAAAUUCGUAGAUAUUCGGAAGAACACCAGUGGCGAAGGCGACUCACUGGCCCAAUACUGACGCUGAGGCGCGAAAGCGUGGGGAGCAAACAGGAUUAGAUACCCGGGUAGUCC
RNAcentral lists this ribosomal RNA (425 nucleotides) under uncultured bacterium. RNAcentral describes it as "partial 16S ribosomal RNA". It matches the Rfam family "Bacterial small subunit ribosomal RNA", at positions 354 to 796 of the family's 1533-position model. The record is from RNAcentral.